RNAcentral lists this ribosomal RNA (800 nucleotides) under uncultured bacterium. Its description in RNAcentral is "bacterial SSU rRNA". It matches the Rfam family "Bacterial small subunit ribosomal RNA", at positions 8 to 780 of the family's 1533-position model. The record is from RNAcentral.
AGAGUUUGAUCCUGGCUCAGAACGAACGCUGGCGGCGUGCCUAACACAUGCAAGUCGUACGAGAAAUCCUGGGCAACUGGGAGAGUAAAGUGGCGCACGGGUGAGUAACGCGUGGGUAACCUACCCUUGAAUUGGGGAUAACUCUUCGAAAGGGGAGUUAAUACCGAAUAAUAUUCCGAUUCCUAUGGGAGUCGAAAUCAAAGGUGGCCUCUGCAUGCAAGCUAUCAUUUAAGGAUGGGCCCGCGUACCAUUAGCUCGUUGGUAGGGUAACGGCCUACCAAGGCAACGAUGGUUAGCUGGUCUGAGAGGAUGGCCAGCCACACUGGAACUGAGACACGGUCCAGACUCCUACGGGAGGCAGCAGUGGGGAAUCUUGCGCAAUGGGGGAAACCCUGACGCAGUAACGCCGCGUGGGUGAUGAAGGCUUUCGGGUCGUAAAGCCCUGUCAGGUGGGAAGAACCAUGUCGAUGUGAAUACCAUCGGCAUCUGACGGUACCACCGGAGGAAGCACCGGCUAACUCCGUGCCAGCAGCCGCGGUAAUACGGAGGGUGCAAGCGUUGUUCGGAAUUAUUGGGCGUAAAGCGCGUGUAGGUGGUUGGGUAAGUCAGAUGUGAAAGCCCUCAGCUUAACUGGGGAAGUGCAUUUGAAACUGCUUGGCUAGAGUCCGGGAGAGGAGAGUGGAAUUCCCGGUGUAGAGGUGAAAUUCGUAGAUAUCGGGAGGAACACCAGUGGCGAAGGCGGCUCUCUGGCCCCGAUACUGACACUGAGACGCGAAAGCGUGGGUAGCAAAACAGGAUUA